AGUAAAAAGGGUUUUUUUCAAGCCUUUCUUUUUGCGUGCUGUAACAUAGUAAUUAUCUUUUCUCAAUUAGGAGAGAUGGCUGAGUGGACUAAAGCAUCAGACAGGCGGUGGAAACUACCAAGCUGGAGUAACGUAGGGGCAGAGGGAAUUUCCGGUGGAGCGAUGAAAUGCGUAGAGAUUGGAAAGAACACCAACGGCGAAAGCACUCUGCUGGGCCGGCACUGACACUGAGCGACGAAAGCUAGGGGAGUGAAUGGGAUUAGAUACCCCAGUAGUCCUAGCCGUAAACGAUGUAUACUAGGCGCUGUGCGUAUCGACCCGUGCA
Molecule: non-coding RNA, 325 nt
Filed under: Gossypium arboreum
Lineage: Eukaryota; Viridiplantae; Streptophyta; Magnoliopsida; Malvales; Malvaceae
Description: Bacterial small subunit ribosomal RNA
Rfam family: Bacterial small subunit ribosomal RNA
Source: Rfam by way of RNAcentral